ACUUCUAUACAGUUCAAUUUUUCUGUCAGUUCUGGUUGGUUUUUGUUUUUGAAUUUGUUGUUUUCCUUCUUUUGGUUGUGCGAGGAGGCAAAGUGUGUCUAUCUACGCCUCUGUGUUGGCCAGAAGUCAGCUUUCUUGUAUUAGGAAGUGGAA
This is a long non-coding RNA of Phyllostomus discolor (pale spear-nosed bat), 153 nucleotides long. RefSeq lists it as uncharacterized. The transcript is spliced from 3 exons. NCBI's taxonomy places the organism in Eukaryota, Metazoa, Chordata, Mammalia, Chiroptera, Phyllostomidae. The record is from RefSeq and is a predicted model, not a curated record.